Molecule: ribosomal RNA, 446 nt
Filed under: uncultured bacterium
Lineage: Bacteria
Description: partial 16S ribosomal RNA
Rfam family: Bacterial small subunit ribosomal RNA
Source: RNAcentral
CCUACGGGAGGCAGUAGUCGAGAAUCAUUCACAAUGGGGGAAACCCUGCUGGUGCGACGCCGCGUGGGGGAAUGAAGGUCUUCGGAUUGUAAACCCCUGUCAUGUGGGAGCAAAUUAAAAAGAUAGUACCACAAGAGGAAGAGACGGCUACCUCUGUGCCAGCAGCCGCGGUAAUACAGAGGUCUCAAGCGUUGUUCGGCAUCACUGGGCGUAACGCGUGCGUAGGCUGUUGCGUAAGUCGUGUGUGAAAGGCGCGGGCACAACCCGCGGACGGCACAUGAUACUGCGAGACUAGAGUAAUGGACGUGGGACCGCAUUUCUCGGUGUAGCAGUGAAAUGCGUCGAUAUCGAGAGGAACACUCGUGGCGCAGGCGGGUUCCUGGACAUUACCUGACGCUGAGGCACGAACGCCAGGGGAGCGAACGGGAUUAGAUACCCUGGUAGUC